Molecule: ribosomal RNA, 445 nt
Filed under: uncultured bacterium
Lineage: Bacteria
Description: bacterial SSU rRNA
Rfam family: Bacterial small subunit ribosomal RNA
Source: RNAcentral
AGUGAACGCUGGCGGCAGGCCUAACACAUGCAAGUCGAGCGGCAGCGGGUUCCCGCGAGGGGAUGCCGGCGAGCGGCGGACGGGUGAGUAACACGUGGGUAACCUGCCCGGAAGUGGGGAAUACCUCGGGGAAACUCGAGCUAAUACCGCAUGACAUCUUUGGGACGAAAGUCCUGACGAUCAAAGCGGGGUCGCAAGAUCUCGCGCUACCGGAUGGGGCCCGCGCCCGAUUAGCAGUUGGUGAGGUAACGGCUCACCAAGGCUUCGAUCGGUAACCGGCCUGAGAGGGCGAUCGGUCACACCGGAACUGAGACACGGUCCGGACUCCUACGGGAGGCAGCAGUGGGGAAUCUUGCGCAAUGGGCGAAAGCCUGACGCAGCAACGCCGCGUGGAGGAUGAAGGCCCUUGGGUUGUAAACUCCUGUCGGCUGGGAAGAAAUCGUCC